GAGGCCCAGCUAGUUCCAGCAGUGUUUUGUUAGCCAUGGCUGUAGCUAGAGGAAUCACUGUGUAAUUUUGGUGCAAAAUAAGGCAACGUUUAUCUGAGGAGUAUUUUUGCCCUCUGAAUUUUAGGAAACUGGAAUUGUGCUAGUUAUACUCUUACUCUGUGGAGAACUCUAACUUUGUUCCUGAAGUUGAUCUCCAAAUCUUGUAAAAGCUCUGGGUAAGUAUCCAUCUUUUUAGAAGUUUUGAGUAAGCCUGUGCAGAGUUAAAGGACUUUAAAGGAAUGUUUAGGUCAGGGAACAAGACAUAUUUGUUUUGCUAUUUUUAAAAAAAAAAGCUUAACAAUUUAAAAUAGCAGAAACAGUAGAAACACUUUGAAGAAUAAAAUAGUCUUUAAAAAUGAAGUAAUUUUUACACAUAAGCAGUUUGGGUCUGGAGUUUUGUUCUUUAGAGGUAUUUGGUGUGGCUACAAAGUCAGUAUUUUAUUAGUAAAUAGACACAAGAAAAGUUCAUACAGUUCCUUCCUUUGGUAAGUCUACUUGUCUUGGGAAUAAGAAAUUUUACUCCCCUUUCAAAAUUCAUCUUUCUCAUUUAUUUGAUAGGUGCUGUUUAUUGAAUAUUCCUAAUAGAACAAAUAAAAUAAUGCUGUUGGGGUGUUUUGCAAUUUAUUACACCCACUUGACUCAAUUGGUUAUUUUUCUAUGAUGUUUAUUUAGAUUUGUAAAGUGUUACAUAGUAAGAAUUGGUAUGACCUGGUUUGCACUUUUCCUGAGGACUGGGGUUGGUGUAUAUGUAUGUAUGUAUGUAUGUGUGUGUGUGUGUGUGUGUGUUUUAUUGUAUGUGUAGAAUUAUCCUCAUUGAUAUCUUUUAUUUUAAACAAAACUAAACAAAUUAUACUUAAGUUCAGGCUCAAAGUUGACAUUAUGUUUCAGAGAGAAAUUUUUUUCUUACAUAUGUUGCAGAAAUGUUUGUUUGUAAUGACUCUUUGAGAAAGGGAUGUUUUAAGUUGUACCCUUACAUUUGAGAUAUGAAGUGUAAGAGGCAAAAAUGGAAUUUUAAACAUUAGAAACUAGCUUCUCAAUUGUUUUCCCCCUAAACUGGAAGUUAUGUAUGUAUUAUUAUAAAAUAAAUCUAAAAUGUAUCUUUACAAAUCUUAUGACAAAUCUAAUCAAUUAUAAAGUCACCAUCCUAAGAAAAACUUUUUCUUGCUCUUACAUUAUUUGAACAGAUUCUAUUUUUAGAGGGAAAGCCCAGACUAGAUGACAAUAUAACAUCAAUGAAGUUUGAGAAAAUAUUUGUAGACAUUAAUUAGUUUGGAUUAUAAAAGUAUUCCUAUAAAUAGUUGGUUUUUACAUUGACCUAUUUUUUAUUGCUUACUACAGAAAAUAAUGUAACAAUUUCUGUAAGCUUUUAAAGAACAGUUAAAGGAUCUAUGAUUCUUAAAAGUGAGCAUUUUUAGUUUUGCCAUGUGAAUAAAUGUGAUAGAGAAGAGUGAAGAGAUAAAACAUGCUGUUUGGACUGGAGAUCUAAAUUCAAAGCUUUCGUGGACUGGUGAGCUGUUAAGACAAAAUAAAGAUUUAUUAUUGCUCAGUCCAAAGAGAAAACUUAAAUGAUGUCUUUAAGUAUAGUGAUUAGUAGGGGAAAGAAGUUGUGUAUCAGUGGUCAUAGGCCAGGGCUUUUUCCCUACUAUUUCUUGAAUAUUAAGGGCAUCCAUGGUUUAGUGCCCAGCUCAAUUUCUAGGUAUAAAUAUGAUUUACAUGUAAAAUAUGGGGGCUCAAUGGAAGUAUACUUGUUUAGCAUGCAUGAGGCCCUGCAUUUGAUGCCUAGCAACUAAAAAAAAUUAAAAAAAAUUAGAAAAAAUAAAAAGCUUUUAGAAGUAAAAUAUAAAGUCCUUUAAAAGUCUUGUUUGUAGCACCUGCAAAAGGAAAAUAAUAUAUAAAAUUAUAUAAACAUUAUGACAGUACCUUUUUAGUGAAUUAUGCUUUUUUGGUGGUGGUGGGGACUGGGGAUUGAACUCAGGGGCACUCAACCACUGAGCCACAUCCCCAUCCCUAUUUUGUAUUUUAUUUAGAGACAGGACCUAGUGCCUUGCUUUUGCUGAGGCAGGCUUUGAACUCAUGAUCUUCCUGCCUCAUCCUUCCAAGCUGCUGGGAUUCCAGGUGUGCGUCACCAUACCUGGGGAAUUUUGCUUUUUUGUUGCAGCCAUUUAUGAUUUCUGUAACAUGUUUCAUUAAAAACAUAUGUGAAUACUUUUGAUACUUGGCUUUAUGGAAAUCUCUUUUUAGCAUUGAUUAGUCAGUCAGAAGAUUGAAAAUUGCAGGUAAAUAGUGUCAGUCCUUUCAAAUCAAUUUAUUUAUUGGAAGUUUUAAUUAGUUUAGGCAAAGUUCAGAUAGCCUCAUAGGCAGGAAGCCCAAUUGUCUAUGAAAUGAUGUUUCCACUUUGCAUUAAAUGAAAACAGUUCUCUCCUAGUCCUGGCACAUUGCUUUCGUCCUUUUCUUAGAGCCCCUGGAGAACAAGUAACUAUUGCUUCUUGCAGCAGCAUGGUGUGCCUGUGAGUCCUUGUCCUAGAUUUGUUACAGAAGGAUAUAGUAAUGUUUUCAAAACAUGAUCAUACAAUUCUCAAAUCAACAACAAUGAAUGCAUCAUAUGUUACUUUUAUAAAUAAGAUAGAUGUUAGGAAAUUAAACCACCUAUGGUGGAUGGCAUAAAGUAUUGUAAAAUAUCAAACGAUUCACUUUAAGAAUUUCUUUCUUUUUCUUUUUUCACCCACUAAUCACAAAGCAACUCAGUCUGGGUUUCUCAGGCUAUAUUUGCCUAGAGGAGUAGGACUAUGAAUAUGAAUACAUAAUUAUAAUCCUCCAUUCUGGAGGGCCCAAGCAGCACUUGCCUACCCCAGUGGUGGUCCCUGAUGCUCACCUUCCGUGUAAGUGUUCCAGCUGCACUACUGUCACUUCUGGCUCCUGGUGUUUAGGACCUCUGUCUCCUCUUCCCACUGAUUGCUGCUGUUGGGACAUGAAAGAAUGUCUUCAGGGAGUCUGUAUAGUCAUUGUCCUGGGGGCAGGCCAGGACUGCAGGCCCAGCUGGUCAAGUCCCAUUGGGUCUUUCUGCUAAUUAUAUCCAGAUUUUCCACUUUAAAAUUAUGACCUAGCUGGGCAUGGUGGAGCACACCUGUAAUCCCAGCAACUCAAGAAGCUGCGGCAGGAUUAUCACAAAUUUGGUAUCAGCCUCAGCAAUUUAGUGAGGUCUUAAGCAAUUUAGUGAGACCCUGUCUCAAAAUAAAAUAUAAAAAGGGCUGUGGAUGUGGCUUAGUGGUAAAGCAAUACUAGGUUCAAUCCACUUACCAAAUAAAUAAAUAAAUAAAUAAAUAAACUUAUCUGUAAUGAAAUUGAUGGUGCUCUUACCACAUUUUAGCACAAGGUGAGGGCUCAUUUAUGAGUUUUAUGAUCUUAAUACUAGUUACCUUGUUUAUACCUGAGGAUAAUAAUAGUAAGCAUCUCAUAGAAUUGUUAUGAAGACUAACUGAGAAAGAGGAGCAAGGCCCCAGUGAUCAUCUGCUUGCUCAGCACGUUGAAGAUAUUUAGUUAUAGCCCUCUGUUGCUGCUGAUUCUGUAAUCCCAACUUUGUUCUAUGACCCAAUCAGCUGUUUCUCUUGAGUUAGUUUCUGGAUUGAUAGUUUUUAAAAAAUGCUUCUGUUCAUAUAUUUGUUGAUUGAUUAUAUAUCCUCUUCUGAGAUGUGUCUGUUCAAGUCCUUGGCCCAUUUGUUGAUUGGGUUAUUUGUUGUUUUGGUACUUAGUUUAUUGAGUUCUUUAUAUAUCCUAGAGAUUAGUGCUCUGUCUAAUGUGUGAGGGGGUAAAAAUUUGCUCCCAGAAUGUAGGCUGUUUAUUCACCUCACAGAUUGUUUCUUUUGCUGAGAAGAAACUUUUUAGUUUGACUCCAUCCGAUUUAUUGAAUCUUGAUUUUAAUUCUUGUGCUAUAGGAGUCUUAUUAAGGAAGCUGGGGCCUAAUCCCACAUGAUGAAGAUUAGGGCCUACUUCUUCUAUUAAACGCAAAAUCUCUGGUGUUCAUCAUCUAUAGCAAUUAGAGAAAUGCAAAUCAAAACUACUUUAAGGGGCUGCGAUUAUGGCUCAGUGGUAACGCGCUUGCCUAGCAUGCGUGAGGCACUGGGUUCGAUUCUCAGCACUACAUACAAAUAAAUAAAAUAAAGGUUCAUCAACAACUAAAAAAAAAAAAAAAAACUACUCUAAGAUAUCAUCUCAUUCCAGUCAGAAUGGCAGCUAUUAUGAAGACAAACAACAAUAAGUGUUGGUGAGGAUGUGAGGAAAAAGAUACACUCUAGUGUACAUUGCUGGUGGGACUACAAAUUGGUGCAGCCAAUAUGGAAAGCAGUAUGGAGAUUCCUUGGAAAUCUGGGAAUGGAACCACCAUUUGACCCAGCUACCCUCUCCUUGGUCUAUACCCAAAAGACUUAAAAACAGCAUACUACAGGGACAUAGCCACAUCAAUGUUUAUAGCAACACAAUUCACAAUAGCUAAACUGUGGAUCCAACCUAGAUGUCCUUCAGUGGAUGAAUGGAUUAAAAAAAAAUGUGGCAUAUGUACACAAUGGAAUUUUACUCAGCAAUAAAAGAGAAUAAAAUCAUGACAUUUGCAGGUAAAUGGAUGGCGUUGGAGAAGAUAAUGCUAAGUGAAGUUAGCCAAUCCCAAAAAAACAAAUGCCGAAUGUUUUCUCUGAUAUAAGGAGGCUGACUCAUAAUGGGGUAGGGAGGGGGAGCAUGGGGGGAAUAGGUGAAUUCUAGAUAGGGCAGAGGAGUGGGAGGGAAAGAGAGGGGGCAGGGGAUUAGCAAGGAUGGUGCAAUGUGAUAGACAUCAUUAUUAAAAGUACAUGUAUGAAGACACAAAUUGGUGUCAACAUACUUUAUAUAUAAAACCAGAGAUAUGAAAAAUUUUGCUGUAUAUGUGUAAUAAGAAUUGUAAUGCAUUCCGUCAUUUAUUUUUUAAAAAAUCAAUUAAAAGAGACAAAAAAUGCUUCUGUUCUCCUUUUUCAUACUUGCUUACAUAUUUUUCCUCUGUAUAUUUUCUAUUUUCCUUCAAUUCUGAGAAGUAUAAGACGUAAGGCAGCAGGAGCUCCAUUUCUGGUCAGAAUGAGGAAGUUUUUAUUAUAUUUUCUAACUUGACUGGUUAUCUCUUUAUACUCUGUGCCUACUGUCAUGAUUUUUCUGGAACUUCUUAAACCUCAGGGUCAUUUCAAAGCCAAAUCACUAAUCUCUGCACAAACCUUGUUUUAUUGAUUUUUUUGUACUGUAGAAAAGGACUUUUUAUGUUGCAUUUCUAGUUUCUUACCAUCAGCUAAUAAAUUCAUUGAGUCAUACUAUUAGAAAGUCAUAGUACUUGAUGUGGAUGUGGAGGAGUGGAAUGAUGACCAAGAUAUGGUCUCUGUCCUCAGUAUUUUUAGGUAUUUAGCAUAAAAGGAAAGAGGAAAAAUACACCGCCAACUCUAGUCCAAAAUAUAAUGUGUAGAGCAAAAAGGACUCAAACAGUACUAAAGAAGGAGAUGAGAGAAAGCUUUAAAUUUACGGUGGUAGUUAUUGAGUUGCAUUUCGCUGUAGAAAUUCCCAGGCUGUUGGUGAAUGUGGGAAUGUGAAAACCCUUGAUGCCUUCAGAAAACUGCCAUGUGUUUGACAGGAGGGUAGAAAAGGAAGAAAAGGUAUAAUCUGUUGGUCUUAAGUUGGAAUUCAUUUUUCAAGAUAAAUAAUAAUUGAAACUCUGAUCCAUUACUUAUAUAGAAAAGGAUUGGAGCUGGGUGUGGUGGCACAUGCCUCUAAUUCCUGCAACUUGGGAGUUCUGAGGUAGAAGGCUUACAAGUUGGAGGCUGGCCUGGGUAACUUAGUGAAACCCUGUCUCAAAAAUAAAAUACCAAAAGGACUGUGGGUGUAGCUCAGUGAUAAGUGCUGUUGGGUUUAAUCUCUAGCACCACACACUGCAUAAAAAGGAUAGGAAAUAAUAAUAACCAGGUAGCACACAACCAAUAUUUAAAGUAUGUUAACUUUAUAAUAACUUUAAUAAACUUUUCAUAUAAAUGUUUUCUCCUUUUAAAAUUAAACUAUAUUUUUGUAAUACUUUCAGAUUUGCAGAAAAAAUUAUGGCAGUAAUAUAUUUUCUGUUUUCAUGUACUUUAUACUCCCUUAUUGACAUCUUAUGUGGUAUGUAAGAUGGCACUUACCAUAUGGUAUUGUUGUUACAAUUAACGGACAAAUAUUUGUACAUUAUUAUUAACUGAAGUUCAUACUUUAUUCAGAUUUUCUUAAUUUUUAUCUAAUGUCCUUGUAUUAUUCUAAAAUACCACAUUACACUUAAUAUAAUAGUCAUGUCUCCUUAGACUCCUCUUGGCUGUGGCAGCUUUCAGUACUUUCUCUGAUUUUGAUGACCUUGACUGGUAUAUUGGUCAAGAUAUCUGUAGACUCUCCCUUAGUUGAGAUUUUUUUUUUUUUUUUAUAUUUUUCUGGAACUGUUGGUCUUUGGGAGGAACACCACAGAGGUAUUGAUUAAUACAAAAGUUGUGUGCUUAGUCAGAUCAGGCUGCUCUAAUAAUUUAGGUAGUUUUUUUUUUUUUUUUUUUUUGUACUGAGGAUUGAACUCAGUAGUACUCAACCACUGAGCCACAUCCUCAGCCCUAUUUUAUAUUUUAUUAAGAGACAUGGUCUCACUGAGUUGCUCUGCACCUCCUUUGUUGAGGCUGGGUUUGAACUCACAAUCUUCCUGUCUCAGCUUCCUGAGCUGCUGGAUUACAGGAGUGUGCCACCAUGCACAGCUCCAGAUUGGGGGGUUUAAGAUACAUUUAUUAGUCAGUUCCAGAAGUUGGCAAGUCCAAGAUCAAGUGCUGGCAGAUCUGGUGUCUGGUGAAGGCCUGCUUCCCGGAGUCCCUCACCUCUAAAUAUGAUCACACUAGAGCUUAGAUUUCAAUGUAUGAAUCUGGGGGAGAAACAACAUUCAGUUCAUAAUAUUGUGGUUUGGCCUUCUAGACUGAUUGUUGCAGGUUGUGGGCCAGAGGUCUGUUUUUAUAUAUGGUGUGGUUAUUGUUUGUUUUUAUAUUCAGCUUUCACCCUCCUCAUGGGUAGAGAAUCUUCAUCAAUUUUGGUAUGUUUUUUGGGUAUGAGUUGUUGUUUUUAUGAAUUAAAACCAUCAUGCUAGUUUAGGGAAGACUUUACUUUGUUCAGAACUUUACUGAGAAUUUACCAUUUUGGAAACUCAUGACUUCACAAGCAAUACCAUUCAUAGUAUCUGAGUCUCUAAUACACCUGUAUCAGUCUGCAUUUGUAGGGUUUGCAUUCAUGGUGACUCAUGGGUACAAAUAUCUGUCUACUUCAUAAAGUCACAAAAGUAUUUGCAUUUUUUUUUGGGGGGGAGUACCAGGGAUUGAACUCAGGGACACUCAACCAGUGAACCACAUCCCCAGCCCUAUUUUGUAUUUUAUUUAGAGACAAGCUCUCACUGAGUUGCUCAGCACCUUGCCGUUGCUGAGGCUGGCUUUGAACUCACAAUCCUCCUGCCUUAGCUUCCCGAGCACUGGAAUUACAGGUGUGCGCCACUGCUCCUGGCAGAAUUUGUAUUUUUAAUACAAUUAAAUUGUUUUAAUUAGGGCCAGGAUGAAGUAAGACAAGUGAGGUUGCCUUGCUACAAAAUUUAAGGAGAGACUCUUAGGGUCCUGCAAGUUCAAUUUCAGUGCUUAAAUUUUGCACCAUAAGCACCUUGUAUACCUCAUCCUAGUCCUGAUCUUAUGACACGUGAUUUUCUGUUCAUAACUUUUUUAUAUUGUAUCUAGGAUAUUGUGUUGAUUUUGAAAAAAAAAUGUGUGGGGAUUGAACGAUUAAGUUUGUUAAAGUACAAAAAAAAUGUGUGUUUAAAAUGAUCUGUUUAUAAAAGAAAGUGUUUGUUAGAUCUGAGAAUCACCUCUUUAGUGCACAUAUGUGGAAAUAUCCAUUUCUGGGCUGUAUGAACAUCUUCUAUUUUAUUAGGUAUUGCCAGAUAGCUUUACAGAAUGGCUCAUCAGUCAUGCAGUGCUACAGUAAUGUCACAUUAAACAAACAAACAAAAUGCUUCAAUAUAGUGGUUUAAAGCAAUAAGUAUUUAUUUUUCCCUAUUAGUUUGUGGGAUAUUGCAAAUCAGAUAAGCUGGACUGGAUUCUAAACUCCAGAUUCUGGGUUCCAGUCUACAAAUUUGAUUGAGGUUGGGUUCAGGUCCACUCCAUUUCUCUUAUUCUCUUGGACAAACAACUAGUCAGGACAAGUUCUUCUUAUGGGAAAUUGCAGAAGCAAAAGAACAUAGGUGAAAAUACGUAAAACCUCAUGUGUGUCACGCCUAGAACUGGCUCAACUGCAUAGGCCAGAGCAAGUUACAUAGCCAAGUCAACAUAUGUGGGGUAGGGAAAUAUGCUGUGCUCAUUGUAGUGGGUGAUAUUGCGAAAUCAUUUGGCAAAGAUGUGGAUUAUAAUGCUAAUACAGGGAAGAUGUCAACAUUAUGAAUAAUGAUUCAGUUUACCACAAUGAUAUUACUGUUAUAUAUUCUAUCUGUAACAUAUACAAAUUCCUAUUUUUCAACAUCUUCACCAACUCUUGAUGUUACCAGAUUUUAUCAUUUUUGUUUGUUAGAUUAGUGGGUGUCAAAUGACAUAUUGUUAUUUUCAUUUCCAUUUCCAAUUUCAUGUCCUAAAAUAAAAUGUAUUCGUUUUAAAAGAUUAUUUUUUUCCUCCACUAUGAAGUCAGGUAGUGAGAAUGAUGAACUUUUUGUGACAAAAAUAAAAAUUUGGAAUUUGAGUUUUUUAUAAGUAUAAUUAGUUACAAACUUUAACUACCAACUCAUUUCUAUUUUCCUUUUGCUUACAUGUGUCAGAUAUUCUGAGAAUCAUUAAAAUGUCUAGACUCUAUUCAUGAAAGGCCCAUUUGUUCUAAACUCUCAUUCUGUAGACAGGAUGCAUUCAUAAUUUUCUUCCCACUUCUCAGUAGUCUAAUUUUACUAAACCCAUUUAGUAAGUGAAGUAUAGGAAUUGUAGUCCAGAUUUCCUCUUUGAAAACAUGACUCUAUACCAAAAUAUGUGGAUAUUGUUAGUUUCAGUACAUGAAUUUCUAUGCAUUUCUCUGGGAAAUAAACUCCUUAUUUACUGGCACUCCUCUGAUAUAGAGGCAGUUCUAACUGAAGAGCACCAUCCAGGUGAGAGCAGGGUGAGAAUUCAAAAGGCACUACAAAAUUAUUUUUGCCUUGUGAAUAUCAUCUCAUUUAUUCUAGGGUCUCAUAGGUCAUUUCUAGGAUUGGAGUAUUUCAAAAGAAAUAUUGGCUCUACAUACCAAAAAAAAAAAAAAACUUAACAGGAAUUUUAUUCUCCACAGCUAUAUCAUAAGACCAUAAGUUUUAUAACCCAAGCAACAGUUCUAGUGGCCCAUUUUGUCUUCUGCUUCUCAUAAACUAUUACUGUCAGUUAUCUCUCCUAUUCUUGGUCAGCUGGGCUUUUGCCAUCCUGAUUUGAUCUGCUUUAGUAAGUUAUCACAAAUAUUGACUCAACUCCUCUGCAGUAAGCCAUUUCCCUCCUCCUACCCUCUCAAGUCUGAUGAUGCUACUCAGGUUGAGUUCUCUGUUCAUCUUUAUUCUUCUCCAUCACAAAAACCCUAGAACUAUGGACUAGGACUAGGGUUAGUGGCUUGAUGGAUUGAAAUUCUAGGGAGAACAUCAGUUUGAAUUCUCCUUGUCAGCUUGUCGGCAAGAUGAUGGCAUCUACACACAUACCAACAUUUGUGCCAUUUCUGUCACAAAAGGAAAUAAUGACUACUUUUUGAUUCUACUUUUUGGUUCUAGCAGCUCCUAGGCAGGAACCAUCCUUCAGAAAGAAGAAUAUGGAUAAGAGGCAGGGCUUUUCAGAGGUGCUAUUGGCUUCUGUAGGAAUCAAGGGGCACCAUGUUGCCAGAGAAGGUCUCUUCUGUAUCCUUAAGGAGUCUGUUUCUCUCACAGAUAGGAAAAAGGCCUCCUCUGUGUCAGGGGCUGGUAUAUUUCAUCGGGCUAGAACAGCAUAUUCUCUUAUGACUUGAUACUCCAGAUGUUAGGAUAUUUUCUGUGUGAUACUUUGAAUUUAUAGUGGGAUUUCUAAAACUCUCAAGGUCAGUUUUGGUGCAUUUCCAUCCCUAAAAUCCAACUCCUUUGCACCAUUGUCUUUACUGCUGCUAAAUCAGGGUGAACAUCCCUGUUUCAUUCUAAAUAGGUGAUUUUAAUCUGGAGCAUAGCUGACUUACAUUCAUAUUCUGUAUGGUAAUGGAGUUUGAAUCUUGAGGCCACAAUUUCAGUGGGUUGGUUGGGCAUACUAGGAUUCUCUUAGAUAGCUAGUCAUUAGUUACUUGCUUUAUUCUUCAACAUCAAUAAAUUUUAUCCUGUCAGGUAAUCAGGGAAAGGUUAGUUCACUAAUGCCAGUAGCUUACCUGAGCCAUUCUCUGGCCCCUUCUGGCCAGCCUCACAUCCUUUGGUAAGAUAGGUAACUUAUGGGCCUUUGGCAGACAUCUUCAAGGAAAGGAACCAUGAGUUAUGAUGGCUGGGCCAGCGUGUAUGGAAUAUGUCUCUUACUAGAAUAAGGGAGAGGUUACUUAAUAAUAUACAGGUGCAAGCUUUUCUGAUGUCCUCAUAUCUCCUUUCCCCAGGGACACCAGUUUCUACUGGGGCUGGUGAAGAUGUAUCCCACUUCUGGUAUUUUAAUUUCUGCAUCCUGAAAGAUAACAGAAGAAAACAAAGAUAAAAUGGACCAGUUGGAUUCUAGAAAAAAGGCUCUGGGCUGAAACUUUUCAUGAGAAUAGUGGGGGAAAUGAAAAGCUUUAAUAUUUGUUAUGGAGGUAAUUAUGGCUGAUAAAUAUAGAGAACUAUGUUAAUGAAGGUCCUAGAAGGAAACGGAUCAUACUUCCAAGCUGGUAAUUUAGGAGAAUUUAAUAAAAGUGAUGUUUACAAAGAUGUGGGUAGGAUAAUAAUGAAGAAUAUUUUAUUGUUAACAAAGGAUCACUUUGUUGAUUCAGUUCACUGACUUCACAUUUUUCUCUUCUUCCUGGUAGAACUUAAUUUUGCUAAAGGAUCCUUCAUUUUCACAGUUCAUAAUAAUCAUUUUCUAUUCUUUCUUUUACAUGUUUAGUUAGAAAAUCUUGUCAAAUUGAUAGUGUCUCAUGAUCUCUUUUCAAUUUCUCUUCUGCCUUUAUUUCAGCCCUCAUAAUCUUAUUACAGUAAUCUCCCAACUGAUCUUCCUGCCUCUAAUCUCUUCUAAUCUUCCCUGCAACUAGGAUAUUGCUUUCAAAUCCUUUAAUAUCUUUCUGUUGCCUAGCAAAUAAAAUAAAGACAUCUAAACCUAAUGUCUUAGGCCUUUACCAUUAGUACCAGUGAACCAUUUUAGCUUGAAGCUCAGUACUUUCCUUCAGGCUUAUAUUCUUAAUCGUUUAAAAAAUUCUUCACUUUUGUUAUCAUGGAGGUCAGAUGAUUUAUCUGCAAUUUAGAUGCCUUUCUUUAGUUUACCUGAAUACAGAUUAUUUCAAAUACCUCAGGUCCUAAAUACCCCCACAUAACCAGAUGUCUCCAUCAUCUCCUUGUCCUGUGGUUCCUGAGAGCCUUCACCUUUCCCUCCAUAGUUUUAUUGCUACAUUAUGAUACAUCCAGGUCUGUCAGCCCCUGGGCUCUGAGGUUCCCUGGGUCUUUUACUCUCAGUGCAUGUUCCUGUGUAACGUGAGCUCUUUUAUUUGAUGUUGGUCAAAAGAAGCAACGGACAGUUUAUAUGAAGGACCAUCUAGUAGUCCUGACUCAAAAUUUUUAUUUUAAGGUAAUCUCAAAUUUAAAGAAAUUUAUUGCAAUUUUGCUACUGUUUUUUUCCAGGGCCAUUUGAGAAUACAUUGAUGAUGUGGUUGGUGCUCUAUUACUCUGAAAAACUUUGGUGUGUGUUCCCUAUAAACAAGGACAUUCUUACGCAACCACAGUACAACCAUGAAAAUGAGAAAUUAAUUAUUAAUCAGAAAUUGGUACAGUACCACCAUCUAAUUCUCAGAUCCUGUUCAAGUUUCACCAGUGGUUUCAAUAAUGUAUAGCAAAGUAAUCCAGUCUAUAAUACUAUCUUGCAUUUAUUUGGUUGCUAUGUCUCUCUAGACUCCUUUAGUCUGGAUUAGUUCCUCAGUCUUUCCUUGACUUUCAUGACAAGAAAUAUUUCUGAGGAGGCACUUUUAAACUAUGUAAUUUCUUCAUCAGGUUUUAAUGUAUUCUUUAAUUCUUUAACCACUUUGGAUUCUUAGUUUCCUGUUUUAUUCUGUGGACUUGUUGUUUCAUUGUUAUUUUGAUAAAUUAUCUCAUAUUUUAUCCUGCAGGAGCCUCUGUAAUCUGAUGUCUGCAUUCUCUUGACCUAUCCCAUCAUUCUUUAAGAACUUGACUACUUUCUAAGAUGUUCAACUUCUUAUACUUAAGAACCUAUUCCAGUCUUGGAAUCAGCCAUUUCUCUCCAAGGCUCCCUUUUUCCUGUUACUUAUUUAUUUUUUGGUGUUGGUGAUUGAACCCAGGGGUGUUUUACCAUGAGCUACAUCCCCAGCCCUGUUAAUUUUUUCUUUAAAGAUUGAUGUGAUUUUUUUCAUACUUUUAUUUUAUUUAUUUAUAUAUGGUGCUGAGGAUCGAACCCAGCGCCUUGCACAUGCUAGGCGAGCGCUCUACCGCUGAGCCACAGCCUCAGCCCCCCUAGCCCUGUAAAUUUUUUAUACUUUGAGACAGGGUCUUGUUAAAUUGCUUAGGACCUUAGCUUUCUGGGAUUAUAGGUGUGCAUCUCUGUGCUGUUUUAGAUCACAAGAUAUACUUAUUGCCAUUUGGGAGUUGCUGCUCCUAAUCCUCUCAGGGGACAGAGCAAGGGAGUAUAAAACAUAUAUAGACAUAUGAAUAUUUUAUUUGUAAAUUCUUUUUGUAUCUAGCUCUUAUUUUCCUUUUUCUCUUGAAAUUAUGAGUUCAUGUUAAUAUCUCAAAUUCCAAUCUUAUCUUCAGAAUCUACUUGGGCUCUAACAUCUGAGGCAGGGCUGCUCCAUGUGUAGAUGCCCUCUUACCCUGCUCUCCACCCCUCUCUGUGUUGUACUCCAGAAUAGGUGUUUAUCUUAGUUGGCCCCAAAUAUGGCUCAAGAACUGAAUUAGUUAGGAAGGGAAAGAGAAAGAAGAUGAGGGAGACCACUUUUUUGGGGGAGAGAGAGGUAUUGGGGGGGGCACUCAACCACUGAACCACAUCCCCAGCCCAAUUUUGUAUUGUAUUUAGAGACAGGGUCUCACUGAGUUGCUUAGCACCUGGAUAAAUUGCUGAGGCUGGCUUUGAACUCUCAAUCCUCCUGCCUCCGCCUCCUGAGCCACUGGGAUUACAGGCAUGCGCCACUGUGCCCAGCAGAGGGAGACCCAACUUUUAUCAUCUAUUUCUACUUCCCUUCCUUUCUUUUUUUGAAAAUCUAAAUAAUCCAUUAAUCAAUUACUGCAGACCCGGGGGAUUUCAAUAGCAGUCUCUUUUUGACUCCUAAAAGUCAUGUCCUCUUUCAUUAAGCUAUUCCUUCACCUUUUUCUUAUAGCCUUGAUUCCUAAGGUACUUUUGACAUAAUUCUGUGAAUAUGUAAGGACAUGAAGAAUUGGACCUUGUUACAAAGAGCAUGCAGGAAACAUCAUUCUGAAUGUGAGCUCCACAUUGCACACAUUUUUUUUUUCUCUCUCUCUGUGGAUUGUAUUUGUGUCUGUGUUUGUGCCGGAGAGAGAAGAAAUUUUUUAAAGUUUGGAUAACUAAUUUAUAAAGGCUUCUCUUGUUUUGAAGGGGGUCUUUGUUUUUUCAGUUUCAGGAAAUUUCUCCUUUUUUGCCUGGAAUAGGUUAUAGAUUAAGCAGCCUCUCCCUGUGUGGUAGAAGAACCACUGGUUGUCAGCUUCUGCACUAGUCUGCAAGAAAUUCAGGGACAGGACUUGUAGGCUCUGUGAGAACUGGGUAUGUCUCUUGUGGACACAUUUGUGUGCCUAGCCCCAGCACUAUGCUCUAUCACCCAAGAGGCCCUGAUGUCAGUUAACAUUAGUUUGCCAGCCCUGGUUUGUUCUUGGGUCUGAUAGCAAAGUCCAUGAUCUUUUCACUACACCUUGCCAUGUUUAGGACAGGAUGGGCUCUGUCUCCUUAAACUAGUAUAUGGUGAUUUCUAAGUCUGAGAGAUUAUUAUCUAAUAUCAUAUCUUUCUUAUCCAUGUUGGAGUCUGUUAUUUAUGGCCUAAACUCAGUGCUCAGUGAUUUUGUAGAUACUUCAACUAUUAUAUUAUUUGUUCUCUCAUUUUUUUCAAGUACCCACUAAUAGAUGAGAGGUAACUUCAUCAUUUAAUGUCUGUGUUACAUAAGUUGUUUAAUAUCUUAGGGUCACUUUUCUUAACUUUCACACAGGGGAUUUUAAUUACUUCUUUACUGAUUUUCUGUGAGGUACAGCUUAUGUAAAUAUGCUCCCACAAGUGGCAGAUCGGGUGCUCAGUAUGGGUAUCAUUUGUUUGCUUGCACUUGAAGAAGUUCACAAAAGGAUGUUAAGACAGUUGAAAUGCACUAUCCCAACCACUAUUCGUUGUUGGGUAUUUCAUAAAAACCGGUGUUGGUGGGGCACGGUGGCGCACGCCUGUAAUCCCAGCGGCUCUGGAGGUUGAGGCAGGAGGAUUGUGAGUUCAAAGCCAGCCUCAGUAAUUUAGCGAGGUGCUAAGCAACUUAGUGAGACCCUGUUUCUAGUAAAAUACAAAAUAGGGCUAGGAAUGUGGUAGUGCCCCUGAGUUUAAUCCCUGGUAUCCCAAACCAAAAAUUAACAACAACAACAACAACAAAAAUGGUGCUACCCUUGAUUCAGUAGCUGCAUAAUUAUUAAAUUUGUUAAUAAAAUUGGGCUCUGUGCAACACUGUUCAUGAUUUGGAUUUUUGGUAGAUAGGUAGUUUUCAAUGGCCUCUUCUUCAGUCAGUGGUGGUUAACAGUUUAUUCAGAGUAAUUCUUUUUGCCACUAGAUGGUGCUUGUCCCUGUAUUUGCGAGGCUUUUCUAUACAAAGUUACAUUAUUUGGGGAAAAGCAGUAGGAUUGCAUAUUGCUAUUGAUAUUCAUACACACCCUGUGGAUGAGAUAUUUUAAGGUUAAAUUAUAGGGUAAGGGGAGCAUUUAGAUGAGAAUUUUACAGUUCUUUUAGAUCACUGUGUUUACUUAAUGCCCUUUAGUUUAAAAAUGAGAAAAAUUAAUGAAAUUAUUGUAUUCCUUUUUUUUUUUGAGAGGUACAUAAAGUUGGGCCUAGAUUAACUCAUGAGUUUGUUAGAACUAUUAAAAUAAUAAAGUAAGUUGUAGGCCCACAUACUGUCUAGUCGAUUUUUCAAUGUAGUCAGAAAACCUUAGGAGACAAUUCACACUCAGACAUUCUAAUAAUGGAUAAUCAGCGUCAUAUAUAAUUCAGUGCCUCUCAUUUUGAACUAUAAUGACUGUGAAAAAAUGUGCAGCAUUUUCUGUACCUGAUGAAAUCCUGUAAACACCAAGCUGCCUAACAUGGUAAUACAUAGAUAAAAGAUGGUCUCUCCCAUUCAUGAAUUUAGGAAUGAUUAACUGUGUUUAACUGAGGUUAGUUUCUAUGGUAGGGAUUGUGUAGAAUGAGAGGAAAGGAUCUUCAGAAUUUGUUGCACAGGACUAUUUUAGAUGAGCUGCAGGGGAAACCUGUUAAGAGAUUUUCUACUCACUGUGUUUUCUAUGAAGAGCUGACAUGACCAGUUUGUGAACCAAACUUUGGUGAAAUACAAUUUUAAUUUUUAGAAUUUAUCAAAUAGCACUCAGAACAGUUCUGGGCACUGAAUUAUAUAUGACGCUGAUUAUUCACUAUUAGAAUGUCUGAGUGUGAAUUAUCUGCUAAGGUUUUCUGAUUACAUUGAAAAAUCGACAAGACAGUAUGUGGGCCUACAACUUGCUUUAUUAUUUUAAUAGUUCUAACAAACUCAUGAGUUAAUCUAGGCCCAACUUUAUGUACCUCUCAAAAAAAAAAGGAAUACAAUAAUAUCAUUAAGAUUUCUCAUUUUUAAAAAGUAAAUAUGUUUAUGUUUAAACUUAAGAGCUAUUAUAGUAGAAAAUGGGGUGACUCUGCUUAUUCAUUCUAAUUUAAAUGGAAAAUGAGGAUAGGGGACAGGGGUUAGUGACAAAUUGAGAGUUGGUCCUAGCAAAGCAGAGUCAGUCAAUUGAGAGCUGGUGGUUAGAUAGGGUGAGGAGUUGGUUUUCAAGCAACAGGAACUGACUCUGACUAAGAACAAGUGAAAAAAUUUUGAAUCUAAUGAAAAACUGAAGAAUUAGAUUUCAGAAAUGACAAAUGUAGAAUGUCUUCAGGGAUCUAGGUAGCAGGAAAUGAUGAAUAGUCUUCUUGGAAUGAAAUAGUUUUCAUAGUGAAUGAAUUCAAGCUACUUAAUUUUUUCUUUUCUUUUUCUUUUUAACCCUGCUAAAGAGAUUGUGAGAGCAUGAGCAUCCAUGUCCCAAUCCUUAUUAGUAUCAGAUGAGAUGGGGAAAGCUAAUGUUGGUGGGGAGGCAGGCUUUGGGGGAAGACUGGAUUUACAUGUGUUAAGUUGGAGAUAUUCAGACAUUCAAACUGAGAUAGCAAGUGGGUAUGGGUUGGAGGUAGAGAGAACAAAUUUUGGAUACAUGAGUUUAUAGGAGUAUUUGAUGUCAUAGGAGUAGAUGUGCUUAUGGAAGGAGAAAGUAUACAUAAGAAGGUUUCAUUGCCUUUUGGGGCUUUCCAACCCAAAAAAGUUGGGAAAAAGAGAAAGCACCUGCAGAGGAAGUUGAGAGGGGUAAUUAAGAAUUUCUUAGUCAGACCUUUUAGUGAGAAUCACACAUAUAAAUAUGUUAUCUUCUGAUCUCCAGCCAGACUCCUCAGCCAGACUCCUUUCAAGUCCUUACUUUUUUAGCAGGACACUAGCCAGAGCCCAAGAAUUUAUAUAAAGUCUGAUCCUGUGCCUUAUUUUCUUGCAGACAAAGGGAGAAAAUCUAUUACUUGAAAAAUCUCCCUUCCUCACUGUUUUUAGUCCAAAGAAGGGGUUUAAACUAUGAAUGAGUGUUUGUAUGUUAGAUUUAGAGACCUCUAAAUGGGACUGGUAUUUUCCAUCUUUUGCCAGCUAACAGAUUCCCCAUGAAGCGAGAUGUAGUUGAGGUACAGGAGUCCAUCUGCAGGAGUAGGCUCCCGGGGAGUGUGCCUCCUGGCACGCAGCCUCCUUGGCCUUCAGGCCUGUUGUGGCAUCUGUCCUAGCUAUUCAAAGCUGUCGCAAUAAAACUCCUUUUUCAAUAAUGUUCUGUGCUUAGUCCCAUAUUCUUGUUCUGGCAAGUGGCCUCUGGUUUGGUUCCAACUCUGUACCACUCACUAAAAUUCAUCAUAUCAAAUUCCUGUAAGAUUGCUCUUGGCACCCAGUUUGAGAAAGGGGGUGGGGGAAAAGAUAGAUAGAUAGAUAUGGGGAGGGGAAAAGGAGGAGAGGAAAGUGGAGGUUUGGGGAAGAGAGAAAGAGAGAGAGGCCCACAGGCACAGACAUUACUGACCUUACUACUUGCUCAGACAGAACCUGUCACUAGAGUCUCAUUUACUUCUGGAGUGGAUCUCUCUCUACUACCUGAAAUCAUGUACUGUAACUACACUAUUUCUUAUUUUCUGAAAAUUACCUAGCCAUUCCUAACACUAUGAACAAUUUUUCUCUUUUUUUAGAGAUGGGUUUCUGUUCCUCUUCUACAGGGACAGUCCUUUGGUGAGUAGUUCUGUCUUUGUAAUAAGUCCUGUGCUGAUGGUACAUCUUAUCCUCAACACACAGGCUCAGUAUAAUUCAAGUGCCAUUUUCAACCUCCAAGGCCUCUGUAGUAGUCAGGUUGCUCUUCAUAUGUAUGUCAGAACAUAUUCUGUACCUUAGCUGUGCACUGAGAUUUUUAAUAACUCUAGAUAUUCCAAUCAGAAGAAGGUUACAUCUGGUCCCAAUUGGUGGCUUCCACCAGCUGUUCCGUGAAUCAGCCUAGAGGCCUACCCUGAUGAAGCUUGUGAACACAGACCCCUCUUCAGAAUUUAGGUUUUAUUAUGUUUUCCUGAGUCAUUUAACAUAUUGUGAGCUGUAGGUUUUAGAGUUAAAUUUAUUUUAAUUUUCACUAUAAAGCAAAUUGAUCUUUGUGGACAAUGUAUUCUAAUAUUAUUAUGAGCACUAGAGGGCACUCUGUAAAAGAUGAAGCAGUUUUUCAUUUCUUGAUUUUUGAAAUAUCUGUUAUAGCUAUUGAAAUAAUUGAGGCGAGUCAUUAAAAACUAUUAUAUUGUAAUCAAGUAUGCAAGGAAUAAAUCAUUAUCUCUAAAGGAUACAUAACAUACUUCUCAUCCUUGACGAAGGACAAGAAUGACCAUUAUUCCUUGAAUUGACUACUUUGCCUCAAGAUGUACUUCUAAAAUGCUCAUGUUAAAAAUGACAGUCUUGGAGAUAAAUAGUAUGAAAACAUUAUUUAUUUAUUCACUGAAUACUCACUGAUGAUUUACUCUAUUGUAAGCUUCCUAAGGGACACAAAUAUGGUGGAUAAUAAAUUAUAAUAAAGUAUGAUGUUAUCAAAUAGAAACAUGGUAUAUAAGCCACACACAAAAUUUUAACUUUUUAGAAGAUACAUUAACAAAGUAAAAAGAACCAGGUGAAAUUGAUUUUGGCAAUAUCGUUUAUAUAUAUAACCCAAUAUAGCAAAAAUACCAUUAUUUCAAAGUGUACUAAAUAUAAAGAAAAAUUAUUGCAAGUUGAAUAUCUUUUAUCAGAAAUGCUUGGGACUAAAAGUAUUUUGGAUUUAGGAUUUAAAAAAAGAUUUUAGAAUAUUUACAUAUAUGAAAUGAAAUAUCUUGAUAUCUUGGUGUUGGGACCCAAGUCUAAACACAAAAUUGAUAUAUGUUUCAUAUAUACCUUAAUGUCCAUAGCCUGAAGGCAAUUUCAUAUAAUAUUUUUAGUGUGCCUACAUUUUGGCUGUGACCAGUCGUGUGAGAUCAGAUAUGGAAUUUUCCACUUUGUGGGCUUGUGCCAGCACUCAGAAUCCUUCAAUAUUUUGAGUAUUUUGAUUUUUAAAUUUUUGGAUUAGAGACUCAUACUGGUUAUUUAUGAGAUUUACACUCUUUUUUUGUACUAAAACUUUGAAAUCCAACGUGUACUUUAUACUUAUAAUAUGUCUUCUCUUGGAUUUGUCAGAUUUCAGCUGCUCAGUAAUCACACCUAGCUGUGGCUUCCCUUUUGCACAGCACAGCUCUGGGGCCCAGUCUUCUGGACAGGCUGCAUUCUAGAAAUUUAGUAAUAGCCUCACUCUCCUCAUUGAGGCUUUAUGUGUGUGUGUGUGUGUGUGUGUGUGUGUGUGUGUGUGUGUAUGGUUCUGGGGAUGGAACCCAGGGCCUUGUGCAUGUGAGGCAGGCACUCUACCAACUGAGCUAUAUCCCUAGCCCCAUGAGGCAUCUUUUAUAUUACCAAAAAAUUUACCCAUUGAAGUGUACAAUUCUCUCACCUACCUUUUAAGAAAACAGCAUCUACUCUUGUUCCCAGGAUGUAGUAUCUUCUCUUGCUUCUCCAAGGUUCUUUUUGUAAAAUUUCCUUUUCUGUUUUUAUAGUCUCUAUAUUGUCCACAUUUAUUUUUAAAGAAAAAAGCAUUUUGUUUGCCCCCACCCCCACACUAUCUCUUCUGCUUGGAAAUAUCCUCAUGUGUCUGGUUUUCCUUGAUGAGUAGAAAACUGUAUGUGGGUCCUUAGGGGUGAGGAGAUGGGUUAGCAUUUAACCUUUGAUUUCUCUAUUGAAUGAGCAAAUAAGUGAAAAUGAUUAAAUUCUCUUCCAACUUCUUCUUCAUCCAUCUUAAGCCGGUUUCUUUCUAGAUUGGAUAAACUUUACCCUUCUACUUUUGUUCAACAUGUUAGUUCUGAGUGUACCCAAGAGUCCCCUUCCUCUAGAGCUUAGUAGUCUGGUUUUGUUUUGUUCUGUUUUGUGUACACAUGGGGAAACUACCUUUUAAAAAAGGUUAAAAUGACUUAGGUUUCUAUAACUCCACUAAAAAAAAAAAAGAAAAGAAAGAAAGAAAGGAAGGUAGAAAAUGGGUGAACUUUUUUUUUCCCCUCUGUGUUAUAUAAAUAGCAGCAUGCAAGCACAGAUCUAUUCUGCACUCUUCCCUAGAAAUCUUCAAGGCUCACACCCGUACUCCUUUCCAGGCUUCUAAUCAAAACUCACCUUCUCAGUUAAGCCUUCCUUGACCUUUAUAAUUAUAAGUUCCCUCCCAUACUCAUCUGUAUACCCUGGUAUUCCCUAUUCUCUUUCCUUGCUUUGGUUUUUCUUUAGUACACUUAUCACCUGAAAUUCUAUAUACUUUACAUCUGUCUCUUUCCCUUCAAAAUGAGAGCAGAUUUUUUAGAUGUUUAAUUGAAUAUAACACUAAUACAGAAAAGAAUUCGUAAGUUUGCAGCUUGAUGAAUUUUCACAAAAUGACAUACCCACGUCAUUGUGUCCCAGAUUAAGAAAUUGAGCAUAGCAGCAUGCCAGAGGUUUUCCUCAUACUUUUCCCUAUUCACUAACACUUACCCAAGCCUUUUUUCAAAGGCUACUACUACUCUCUGGUUUUCUAUAUCAUGCAUUAGUUUUGCAUUUUAUAUAAAUGGAAUAAGUGCACAAUGUAUUUUUGUCCAGUUUUCCUUACCUCAACAUUAUAUUAAGUUUCAUCUGUGAAGUUGUAUCAAUAGUUUGUUCAUUUGCAUUGAUGUUGUAUCAAUAGUUUGUUCAUUCCAGUACUUCAUUGUAUGAUCACAAUUUAUUUAUUCAUCCUGUUGUUGAUGAAUAUGGGCGGUUUCCAAUUGGACUUUUAGCUAUUAUAAUUAUCUUUUGUUUUGAAAAAGCCUGUAAGGAUCUUAGGCUAUUAUUUUUUAUACCCUUAUAAAUGCUUCCUUUGAGGCAAUAAACAGGGCUGUCUACCUGCUUAGAUUUGGGAAAGCAGCAAUGUUAUCCAGCCAUCUUUUUUUUAAAAUUUUUUUUAGUUGUAGUUGGACUCAGUAUCUUUAUUUUAUUUAUUUACUUAUUUUUAUGUAGUGCUGAGGAUCAAACCCAGAACCUUGCACAUGCUAGGCAAACGCUCCACAACCCCAGUCCUCCAGCCACAUUAGUAUCCUCCACUAACUGAGCUCCUUGGGAACACCUAAUCAUCUUUGAAGCAGCAGUGUUUGGCGUGGAAGAUCACAUAAUGAUCUAAAGACUGUUUCUGAGGGAUCACAUAAGUUUUUAUUUUCAGAAUGAAACUAGGGAGAGGAGUUUAUAGAAGAAUCAGAGAUUAAAUGGAGUUUACCAUGUAGAAACUUCAAAACCAGCAAUAAGAGUAGUUUUAAAUGUAUUUGAAGACAGAAAUUUAGCUAAGGAAUGGUAGUACCCUUUGAUUAUGUUGUAAAACAUUUGCAGAUAGAAAAGCAGAUGACAAGCAUAUCAAUUUUUUCAUUACUGUAAUAUAGGUAUUAGGAGAUAGAGGCCUAAUUUCUAGGUUUUUAAUUAUGGUAAAAUAUAUAUAAUGUAACUUUUACCAUCUAAACCAUUUUUAAGUUUACAGUUCUGUAGUACUGAGUACACUCAUGUUGUACAACCAUCACUACCACCCACCUCCCAAACUUUUCAACUUCUCCAACUGAAGCUCAGUCUUCUUUCCAGCCCUUGACAACACCAUUCUGCUUACUGUCCCAAUGAACUGGACUACUCUAGGAGCCUCAUGUAAGAGCGGUCAGACAAUAUGAUUCCUCUUAUGACUGAAUUAUUUAAUUUAGCAUAAUGUCUUCAAGAUUUUAAAUUUUCUUCUGAGGUAAACAGUUUGGAGGAUGUUUUAUGCUUAGUGUGCACAAGGCCCUGGGUUUAAUCCUUAGCAUAAAACAAACUAACAAAAAUAAAUCAACAUUUUGAAAUAUAUUUUAUAUGUCAGUUUAAAAUUGAAAAACAUGUCAACUCUUAAAAAAAAAAAACCAAACCCAGAAAACAAACAAACAAAAAAGAUAUUUUCCCAAGUAUCAAAGAAACUUCUAGAUAUAAUUGUUUGCCAAAGUAUGUAAACUCCUAUUGACUAGUGAUUUUUAUACAUAAUAAAUAGUAGAAUCAUUGACUAAAGAAGCAACUGUGACUCUUGGGUGGGGUAUAUUGGGGGGGUUAGCCUGAUUUUUAUAAUAGAAUCUACUGGAUGUAUCUGAGAGGAUAUAUUUACCUUCAAACAAGCAGAAACCAAUGGACACAAUAUUUUUAGAUUUAAAAAGCCUUUGGUGAUAUUUGUAUGCUUAAGACUUAAAAAUGAAUUCAGUAUGGCAUUAGAUGGAGUAUUUUGACAUGGAGAUCUAUCUAGGUACCACAAUGGAAAAAAGAAGUAAGUAUGCAGUUGUGGAACAGGAAGAUUUAGCAGUGGUUUCUGUUGGAAAACUGAUGCUGGCAAUAUAUGUUAUAUUUUUUGUCCUUUUAAAUAAAUGACUGGAUGAUGAACCAGUCAUCUUCUGUUUGCUCUUUCAGAUUCAUAUCUCACCCUUUUCCAGCUCUGUGUCCUGCCCUGGAAAGUGCCAGUACUGACUCCUGCAGUCAUCCAUCUUGCCUCUCACUUCUGGUAGCAUAUAGUCAACGGGAAGGAGCUGGUAGGAGGUGGGAGGGAGUAGGGGAGUGAGUCAUCUGGCUGGGACUCUCCACCAAACCUUUUUC
This 22699-nucleotide long non-coding RNA is filed under the name Marmota monax (woodchuck). Lineage: Eukaryota; Metazoa; Chordata; Mammalia; Rodentia; Sciuridae. The record is from RNAcentral.